GGGGGUCAUCCCGACUUACCAACCCGAUGCAAACUGCGAAUACCGGAGAAUGUUAUCACGGGAGACACACGGCGGGUGCUAACGUCCGUCGUGAAGAGGGAAACAACCCAGACCGCCAGCUAAGGUCCCAAAGUCAUGGUUAAGUGGGAAACGAUGUGGGAAGGCCCAGACAGCCAGGAUGUUGGCUUAGAAGCAGCCAUCAUUUAAAGAAAGCGUAAUAGCUCACUGGUCGAGUCGGCCUGCGCGGAAGAUGUAACGGGGCUAAACCAUGCACCGAAGCUGCGGCAGCGACACUAUGUGUUGUUGGGUAGGGGAGCGUUCUGUAAGCCUGUGAAGGUGUACUGUGAGGUAUGCUGGAGGUAUCAGAAGUGCGAAUGCUGACAUAAGUAACGAUAAAGCGGGUGAAAAGCCCGCUCGCCGGAAGACCAAGGGUUCCUGUCCAACGUUAAUCGGGGCAGGGUGAGUCGACCCCUAAGGCGAGGCCGAAAGGCGUAGUCGAUGGGAAACAGGUUAAUAUUCCUGUACUUGGUGUUACUGCGAAGGGGGGACGGAGAAGGCUAUGUUGGCCGGGCGACGGUUGUCCCGGUUUAAGCGUGUAGGCUGGUUUUCCAGGCAAAUCCGGAAAAUCAAGGCUGAGGCGUGAUGACGAGGCACUACGGUGCUGAAGCGACAAAUGCCCUGCUUCCAGGAAAAGCCUCUAAGCAUCAGGUAACAUCAAAUCGUACCCCAAACCGACACAGGUGGUCAGGUAGAGAAUACCAAGGCGCUUGAGAGAACUCGGGUGAAGGAACUAGGCAAAAUGGUGCCGUAACUUCGGGAGAAGGCACGCUGAUAUGUAGGUGAAGCGACUUGCUCGUGGAGCUGAAAUCAGUCGAAGAUACCAGCUGGCUGCAACUGUUUAUUAAAAACACAGCACUGUGCAAACACGAAAGUGGACGUAUACGGUGUGACGCCUGCCCGGUGCCGGAAGGUUAAUUGAUGGGGUUAGCGGUAACGCGAAGCUCUUGAUCGAAGCCCCGGUAAACGGCGGCCGUAACUAUAACGGUCCUAAGGUAGCGAAAUUCCUUGUCGGGUAAGUUCCGACCUGCACGAAUGGCGUAAUGAUGGCCAGGCUGUCUCCACCCGAGACUCAGUGAAAUUGAACUCGCUGUGAAGAUGCAGUGUACCCGCGGCAAGACGGAAAGACCCCGUGAACCUUUACUAUAGCUUGACACUGAACAUUGAGCCUUGAUGUGUAGGAUAGGUGGGAGGCUUUGAAGUGUGGACGCCAGUCUGCAUGGAGCCGACCUUGAAAUACCACCCUUUAAUGUUUGAUGUUCUAACGUGGGCCCCUUACCGGGGUUGCGGACAGUGUCUGGUGGGUAGUUUGACUGGGGCGGUCUCCUCCUAAAGAGUAACGGAGGAGCACGAAGGUUGGCUAAUCCUGGUCGGACAUCAGGAGGUUAGUGCAAUGGCAUAAGCCAGCUUGACUGCGAGCGUGACGGCGCGAGCAGGUGCGAAAGCAGGUCAUAGUGAUCCGGUGGUUCUGAAUGGAAGGGCCAUCGCUCAACGGAUAAAAGGUACUCCGGGGAUAACAGGCUGAUACCGCCCAAGAGUUCAUAUCGACGGCGGUGUUUGGCACCUCGAUGUCGGCUCAUCACAUCCUGGGGCUGAAGUAGGUCCCAAGGGUAUGGCUGUUCGCCAUUUAAAGUGGUACGCGAGCUGGGUUUAGAACGUCGUGAGACAGUUCGGUCCCUAUCUGCCGUGGGCGCUGGAGAACUGAGGGGGGCUGCUCCUAGUACGAGAGGACCGGAGUGGACGCAUCACUGGUGUUCGGGUUGUCAUGCCAAUGGCACUGCCCGGUAGCUAAAUGCGGAAGAGAUAAGUGCUGAAAGCAUCUAAGCACGAAACUUGCCCCGAGAUGAGUUCUCCCUGACUCCUUGAGAGUCCUGAAGGAACGUUGAAGACGACGACGUUGAUAGGCCGGGUGUGUAAGCGCAGCGAUGCGUUGAGCUAACCGGUACUAAUGAACCGUGAGGCUUAACCUU
This 2027-nucleotide ribosomal RNA is filed under the name Escherichia coli. RNAcentral's name for it is "bacterial LSU rRNA". It matches the Rfam family "Bacterial large subunit ribosomal RNA", at positions 922 to 2925 of the family's 2925-position model. Lineage: Bacteria; Pseudomonadati; Pseudomonadota; Gammaproteobacteria; Enterobacterales; Enterobacteriaceae. The record is from RNAcentral.